CGGCGAACGGGUGAGUAACGCGUGGAUAACCUGCCCUGAGGUGGGGGAUAACCAAGGGAAACUUUGGCUAAUACCGCAUGAUACCGAGAGGUCAAAGGGGGCUCGCAAGAGCUCUCGCCAUAGGAGGGGUCCGCGUCCGAUUAGCUAGUUGGUAGGGUAAUGGCCUACCAAGGCGACGAUCGGUAGCCGGCCUGAGAGGGUGAUCGGCCACACUGGAACUGAGACACGGCCCAG
RNAcentral lists this ribosomal RNA (234 nucleotides) under uncultured bacterium. RNAcentral describes it as "partial 16S ribosomal RNA". It matches the Rfam family "Bacterial small subunit ribosomal RNA", at positions 96 to 334 of the family's 1533-position model. The record is from RNAcentral.